Molecule: transfer RNA, 86 nt
Filed under: Candidatus Yanofskybacteria bacterium RIFCSPHIGHO2_02_FULL_46_19
Lineage: Bacteria; Candidatus Yanofskyibacteriota
Description: tRNA-Leu
Rfam family: tRNA
About the family: Transfer RNA (tRNA) molecules are approximately 80 nucleotides in length.
Source: RNAcentral
GCCCAGGUGGUGAAACGGCAGACACGUACGGUUCAGGGCCGUAUGCUCGCAAGAGUGUGGGAGUUCAAAUCUCCCCCUGGGCACAA